AUUGAACGCUGGCGGCAGGCCUAACACAUGCAAGUCGAGCGGAUGAAGGGAGCUUGCUCCUGGAUUCAGCGGCGGACGGGUGAGUAAUGCCUAGGAAUCUGCCUGGUAGUGGGGGAUAACGUCCGGAAACGGGCGCUAAUACCGCAUACGUCCUGAGGGAGAAAGGGGGGGAUCUUCGGACCUCACGCUAUCAGAUGAGCCUAGGUCGGAUUAGCUAGUUGGUGGGGUAAAGGCCUACCAAGGCGACGAUCCGUAACUGGUCUGAGAGGAUGAUCAGUCACACUGGAACUGAGACACGGUCCAGACUCCUACGGGAGGCAGCAGUGGGGAAUAUUGGACAAUGGGCGAAAGCCUGAUCCAGCCAUGCCGCGUGUGUGAAGAAGGUCUUCGGAUUGUAAAGCCCUUUAAGUUGGGAGGAAGAGCAGUAAGUUAAUACCUUGCUGUUUUGACGUUACCAACAGAAUAAGCACCGGCUAACUUCGUG
RNAcentral lists this ribosomal RNA (484 nucleotides) under uncultured bacterium. RNAcentral describes it as "partial 16S ribosomal RNA". It matches the Rfam family "Bacterial small subunit ribosomal RNA", at positions 30 to 507 of the family's 1533-position model. The record is from RNAcentral.